GAUGAAGAACGUAGCGAAAUGCGAUACGUAAUGUGAAUUGCAAAUUCAGUGAAUCAUCGAGUCUUUGAACGCACAUUGCGCCCCCUGGUAUUCCGGGGGCAUGCCUGUCCGAGCGUCAUUGCUGCCCUCAAGCACGGCUUGUGUGUUGGGCCCCGUCCUCCGAUCCCGGGGGACGGGCCCGAAAGGCAGCGGCGGCACCGCGUCCGGUCCUCGAGCGUAUGGGGCUUUGUCACCCGCUCUGUAGGCCCGGCCGGCGCUUGCCGAUCAACCCAAAUUUUUAUCCAGGUUGACCUCGGAUCAGGUAGGGAUACCCGCUGAACUUAAGCAUAUCAAUGAGCGGAGGA
RNAcentral lists this unclassified non-coding RNA (344 nucleotides) under soil metagenome. RNAcentral describes it as "partial contains 5.8S ribosomal RNA, internal transcribed spacer 2, and large subunit ribosomal RNA". The stretch from base 1 to 118 matches the Rfam family "5.8S ribosomal RNA", at positions 35 to 154 of the family's 154-position model. The record is from RNAcentral.